AGCAAACGCUGGCGGCGUGCCUAAUACAUGCAAGUCGAACGGGGAAAGUAGCAAUAUGAGUACUAGUGGCGCACGGGUGAGGAGCGCGUGGGUAAUCUGCCUUCGAGCGGGGGAUAACUAGUCGAAAGAUUAGCUAAUACCGCAUAAGACCACAAGAUCUGCGGAUCUAGGGGUCAAAGCAGCAAUGCACUUGAAGAUGAGCCCGCGUAAGAUUAGCUAGUUGGUGAGGUAACGGCUCACCGAGGCGAUGAUCUUUAGCUGGUCUGAGAGGAUGAACAGCCACACUGGAACUGAUACACGGUCCAGACUCCUACGGGAGGCAGCAGUAGGGAAUAUUGCGCAAUGGGGGCAACCCUGACGCAGCGACGCCGCGUGAGUGAUGAAGGCCUUCGGGUCGUAAAGCUCUGUUAUAUGGGAAUAAGUUCUGAAUGUACCAUGAGAGAAAGGAUCGGCUAACUUCGUGCCAGCAGCCGCGGUAA
RNAcentral lists this ribosomal RNA (479 nucleotides) under uncultured bacterium. RNAcentral describes it as "partial 16S ribosomal RNA". It matches the Rfam family "Bacterial small subunit ribosomal RNA", at positions 29 to 523 of the family's 1533-position model. The record is from RNAcentral.